Molecule: ribosomal RNA, 539 nt
Filed under: uncultured bacterium
Lineage: Bacteria
Description: bacterial SSU rRNA
Rfam family: Bacterial small subunit ribosomal RNA
Source: RNAcentral
AAUAGAUACCCAGGUAGUCCACCCCGUAAACGUUGGGAACUAGUUGUGGGGUCCAUUCCACGGAUUCCGUGACGCAGCUAACGCAUUAAGUUCCCCGCCUGGGGAGUACGGCCGCAAGGCUAAAACUCAAAGGAAUUGACGGGGACCCGCACAAGCGGCGGAGCAUGCGGAUUAAUUCGAUGCAACGCGAAGAACCUUACCAAGGCUUGACAUAUACGAGAACGGGCCAGAAAUGGUCAACUCUUUGGACACUCGUAAACAGGUGGUGCAUGGUUGUCGUCAGCUCGUGUCGUGAGAUGUUGGGUUAAGUCCCGCAACGAGCGCAACCCUCGUUCUAUGUUGCCAGCACGUAAUGGUGGGAACUCAUGGGAUACUGCCGGGGUCAACUCGGAGGAAGGUGGGGAUGACGUCAAAUCAUCAUGCCCCUUAUGUCUUGGGCUUCACGCAUGCUACAAUGGCCGGUACAAAGGGCUGCAAUACCGCGAGGUGGAGCGAAUCCCAAAAAGCCGGUCCAGUUCGGAUUGAGGUCUGCAACUCGA